CCCUUAGAUGUUCUGGGCCGCACGCGCGCUACACUGACGGAGGCAGCGAGCGUGUCCUUCGCCGGCAGGUGCGGGCAAUCUUGCGAGUCUCCGUCGUGCUGGGGAUAGAUGGUUGCAAUUGUCGAUCUUGAACGAGGAAUUCCUAGUAAGCGCGAGUCAUCAGCUCGCGCUGAUUACGUCCCUGCCCUUUGUACACACCGCCCGUCGCUACUACAGAGUGCCCGUGUCCAAGAAACGGUCGGACCUGUGCGGCCUCUCCGGGCGACCGGAGGGCCGUUACGGGGAAGACCCUUUAUUUGACGCGGGUAGAUGAAGUAAAAGUCGUAACA
This 329-nucleotide ribosomal RNA is filed under the name uncultured eukaryote. RNAcentral describes it as "partial 18S ribosomal RNA". It matches the Rfam family "Eukaryotic small subunit ribosomal RNA", at positions 1470 to 1796 of the family's 1831-position model. The record is from RNAcentral.